Molecule: ribosomal RNA, 860 nt
Filed under: uncultured Chloroflexota bacterium
Lineage: Bacteria; Bacillati; Chloroflexota
Description: bacterial SSU rRNA
Rfam family: Bacterial small subunit ribosomal RNA
Source: RNAcentral
GACGUAGGACGCGAGCGUUAUCCGGAUUUACUGGGCGUAAAGCGCCUGCAGGCGGUCAGGUAAGUCGGUUGUGAAAGCCCCGUGCUCAACGCGGGGAGGCCAAGCGAUACUGCGUGACUUGAGGGCGGAAGAGGGGAGUGGAAUUCCCGGUGUAGCGGUAAAAUGCGCAGAUAUCGGGAGGAACACCAGUGGCGAAGGCGGCUCCCUGGACCGCACCUGACGCUCAGAGGCGAAAGCUAGGGGAGCGAACAGGAUUAGAGACCCUGGUAGUCCUAGCCCUAAACGCUGGAUGCUAGGUGUAGGGCUGAUGAGGCUCUGUGCCGGAGCGAACGCGAUAAGCAUCCCGCCUGGGAACUACGGCCGCAAGGCUAAAACUCAAACGAAUUGACGGGGACCCGCACAAGCAGCGGAGCGUGUGGUUUAAUUCGAUGCUACACGAAGAACCUUACCUGGGUUUGACAUGCUGGUGGUACCGAACCGAAAGGGGAGGGACCCUUCGGGGAGCCAACACAGGUGCUGCAUGGCUGUCGUCAGCUCGUGCCGUGAGGUGUCGGGUUAAGUCCCGUAACGAGCGCAACCCUUGCUCUUAGUUAUACGUGUCUAAGGGGACUGCCGGCGACAAGCCGGAGGAAGGUGGGGAUGACGUCAAGUCAGCAUGGCCUUGAUAUCCAGGGCUACACACACGCUACAAUGGCCGGUACAAAGGGCAGCCAAGCCGCGAGGUGGAGCGAAUCCCAGCAAAGCCGGUCCCAGUUCGGAUUGCAGGCUGCAACCCGCCUGCAUGAAGUUGGAGUUGCUAGUAACCGCGCGUCAGCCAUAGUGCGGUGAAUACGUACCCGGGUCUUGCACUCACCGCCCCG